This 460-nucleotide ribosomal RNA is filed under the name uncultured bacterium. RNAcentral describes it as "partial 16S ribosomal RNA". It matches the Rfam family "Bacterial small subunit ribosomal RNA", at positions 338 to 795 of the family's 1533-position model. The record is from RNAcentral.
CCUACGGGUGGCAGCAGUGCGGAAUAUUGGUCAAUGGGCGUAAGCCUGAACCAGCCAAGUCGCGUGAGGGAUGAAGGUUCUAUGGGUCGUAAACCUCUUUUAUCAGGGAAUAAAGUUCGGGACGUGUCCCGUUUUGUAUGUACCUUAUAGAUAAAGAUCGGCUAAAUCCGGGCCAGCCGCCGCUGUAAUACGGAGGUACCUAGCGUUAUCCGGGUUUAUUGGGUUUCACGGGUGUGUAGGCGGCCCUUUAAGUCAGCGGUGAAAGUCUGGGGCCCAAACCUAGACUUGCCGUUGAAACUGGGAGGCUUGAGUAUGUUAGAGGAAGGCGGAAUGCGUGGUGUAGCGGUGAAAUGCUUAGAUAUCACGCAGAACCCCGAUUGCGAAGGCAGCCUGCCAAGCCAUGACUGACGCUGAUGCACGAAAGCGUGGGGAUCAAACAGGAUUAGAUACCCGAGUAGUC